CCUACGGGGGGCAGCAGUGGGGAAUAUUGGACAAUGGGCGAAAGCCUGAUCCUGCCAUGCCGCGUGUGUGAAGAAGGCCUUCGGGUUGUAAAGCACUUUCAGUGGGGAAGAAAGCCUUGGGGCUAAUACCCUCGAGGAAGGACAUCACCCACAGAAGAAGCACCGGCUAACUCCGUGCCAGCAGCCGCGGUAAUACGGAGGGUGCGAGCGUUAAUCGGAAUUACUGGGCGUAAAGCGCGCGUAGGCGGUCUGAUAAGCCGGUUGUGAAAGCCCCGGGCUCAACCUGGGAACGGCAUCCGGAACUGUCAGGCUAGAGUGCAGGAGAGGAAGGUAGAAUUCCCGGUGUAGCGGUGAAAUGCGUAGAGAUCGGGAGGAAUACCAGUGGCGAAGGCGGUCUUCUGGACUGACACUGACGCUGAGGUGCGAAAGCGUGGGUAGCAAACAGGAUUAGAUACCCGUGUAGUC
This 465-nucleotide ribosomal RNA is filed under the name Vreelandella stevensii. RNAcentral's name for it is "partial 16S ribosomal RNA". It matches the Rfam family "Bacterial small subunit ribosomal RNA", at positions 338 to 795 of the family's 1533-position model. The record is from RNAcentral. Lineage: Bacteria; Pseudomonadati; Pseudomonadota; Gammaproteobacteria; Oceanospirillales; Halomonadaceae.